This 159-nucleotide unclassified non-coding RNA is filed under the name uncultured Wilcoxina. Its description in RNAcentral is "sequence contains ITS2". Lineage: Eukaryota; Fungi; Ascomycota; Pezizomycetes; Pezizales; Pyronemataceae. The record is from RNAcentral.
AAUACCACUCAGGCUCUUCUGCUUGGUCAUGGAAGAAGAGUAUGCUUGCAUCCUCUCUUCUGAAAUCGAAUGGCGGACCGCCUCAUGUGCCUCGCGUAGUAAGUUCAUCCUUUCGCUUGGAGCGUGAGACAGUCUCGCCAUCAACCCCCAUACUUCUAA